AAGACUAUACUUUCAGGGAUCAUUUCUAUAGUUCGUUACUAGAGAAGUUUCUCUGAACGUGUAGAGCACCGAAAAGACCAU
Pongo abelii (Sumatran orangutan) is the source of this 81-nucleotide small nucleolar RNA. Its record names the gene U3. It matches the Rfam family "Small nucleolar RNA U3". Rfam says of the family: Small nucleolar RNAs (snoRNAs) are involved in the processing and modification of rRNA in the nucleolus. There are two main classes of snoRNAs: the box C/D class, and the box H/ACA class. NCBI's taxonomy places the organism in Eukaryota, Metazoa, Chordata, Mammalia, Primates, Hominidae. The record is from Ensembl.